This 5261-nucleotide unclassified non-coding RNA is filed under the name Hevea brasiliensis (rubber tree). The record is from RNAcentral. Lineage: Eukaryota; Viridiplantae; Streptophyta; Magnoliopsida; Malpighiales; Euphorbiaceae.
GGAAAACGAGCGGGAGCUGCGCAUAACUUGCAAGCAAAGUGGGGAGAAAAUAAAGGCACGAAAGAAAAAGGAAAAGAAAACCGUUCCCCUUUCUCUUUCUCUAGCGAGUCUCUCGAGUUUUAUUUUUAUUAUUUCGAUCGAUUUUCUCUCUGCAACUAACCAGAAAAUAACUUACAACAAUUAAGUGCAUAAAAGCAAAAAGGAAUUAGGUUUUAUUCAUUUCCACUGCAAUAUUUCUUGGAGAAAUGGACGAUGAGGUUGUUCAGCGAGUUCUUCAAGAAGGAGGCCGUGAUUUUUUCCAACAACCACCCUCCACUUCCUCCAUCCUCCAAUCCCUCCCUCUCCAUGCGUCUUUUGAUCGUGGAUUUUACUUGUUAGUAAAAUCCAUUCAAGAGCUCAGAGAGAGAAAGGAGGGUCUUGUUACUGUUGGCAUUGGUGGUCCUAGCGGUUCGGGCAAAACAAGCUUAGCAGAGAAGGUAGCAUCUGUAAUUGGUUGCACUGUUAUAUCAAUGGAGAAUUAUCGAUAUGGAACUGAUGAUGGGAAUGAUUUGGAUUCAAUUGAUUUUGAUGCAUUAGUCCAUAAUCUUGAGGAUUUGAUGAAAGGUAAAGACACUUCUAUACCAGUGUUUGAUUAUCAACAGAAGAGACGUGUUGGUUCAAAGAGAAUAAACAGUGUUUCAUCUGGAGUGGUAAUAGUUGAUGGUACUUAUGCUUUGCAUGCAAGAUUGCGCUCUUUGCUUGAUAUUCGGGUGGCUGUGGUUGGUGGAGUUCAUUUUAGUCUUCUUUCCAAAGUUCGAUAUGACAUAGGAGAUUCUUGUUCUUUGGAUUACCUUAUCGACAGUAUUUUCCCUUUGUUUAGAAAACACAUUGAGCCAGAUCUUCAUCAUGCACAGAUUAGGAUAAACAACAGCUUUGUAUCUUCAUUUAGAGAAGCAAUUUACAAGUUGAAAUGCAGGAGUGAGUCUCCAGAUGUGUCUGCUUAUGCCUUUCAAGGAGCAGAGCCACAAAUAGAUAAUUUUAUUGAGAUGUACCUUAGGGCACCAUCAGCAAGUGAAGAAGCACGAAUCAGUGACUGGAUUAAGGUGCGGCAAUCUGGUAUUAAAUACUAUCUGUCACUUGGGGAUCAGAGGAUUGUUGAUAAAAAUUUCAUUAUCAGGCCAAAAGCUGAGUUUGAGGUUGGAAGAAUGACUCUUGGUGGUUUGUUGGCUUUGGGGUAUACUGUUGUAGUCAGUUACAAACGAGCAUCUACUUCUGUCAGUAAUGGCAAUCUUUCAAUGUCACUGGAGACAAUUGAUACCCUUGGCGAGACAUUUAUGGUGCUGAGGGGCAUGGAUAGAAAAACUGUUGGAGCAGAAGCAUCAAGGAUGGGUGUGAAUGGACCAUGGAUCACCAAGUCAUAUCUGGAACUGAUUCUUGAGAGAAAAGGGGUGCCACGUUUGAGCACGCCACCACCUGUGUCCAAUACUUCCAUGACUAGUAAUCAAGACAGAUUGAUUGCUGCCCCAAGGCCUAUCCGUACUACUCCAAAUCUAGUUAUUCGGCUUGAGGAUCUAUCUCAGCCAUGGACUCGGUCCCCAACAAAAUCUCAAAUGGAACCUCUUGUAGCAACAUGGCAAUUCAUGCCAUUGGAUUCGCCACAUACUGGAAGUUCAGUUGUAGAUCCUUCCUCUUUCAGGGAUACCAUGAAGCUUGUUCCAAUGUCUGAUUCAUAUGACUUGGAUAGAGGACUGCUUCUUGCUGUUCAAGCAAUACAGGCUUUGUUGGAGUAUAAAGGUCCUCCUGUCAUAGUUGGAAUUGGAGGUCCAAGUGGGUCUGGAAAAACUAGCCUGGCUCAUAAAAUGGCAAAUAUUGUUGGUUGUGAAGUAGUUUCCCUUGAAAGCUACUUUAUAUCUGAACAAGUGAAAGAUUUUAAGCAUGAUGAUUUUCGCUCUCUUGAUCUAUCCGUGCUGGCAAAGAAUAUCAAUGACAUAAGGAGUGGCAGAACUGCUAAAGUGCCCAUAUUUGAUUUGGAGACUGGUGCUCGUAGUGGCUUCAAGGAACUUGAUGUUUCUGAAGACUGUGGUGUGAUUAUUUUUGAGGGUGUUUAUGCUCUACACCCAGAAAUUCGGGACUCACUUGACUUGUGGAUUGCUGUUGUUGGGGGUGUGCAUUCACAUCUGAUUUCUCGGGUUCAAAGGGACAAAAGUAGAGUGGGGUGCUUUAUGUCCCAAAAUGACGUCAUGAUGACAGUGUUUCCAAUGUUCCAGCAGCAUAUUGAGCCCCAUCUUGUUCAUGCGCAUCUUAAAAUUCGGAAUGACUUUGACCCAGUGCUUUCCCCUGAGAGUUCAUUAUUUGUUUUGAAGAGUAACAAGCAGGUGGCUUAUCAAGACAUUGUAAAAAUCAUUGAUCCUGCAAAGUUAUGUAGAUCUGUUCAGAAUUUCAUUGAUAUAUAUUUAAGGCUCUCUGGAAUUCCUACUAAUGGACAGUUGACAGAGAAUGACUGCAUACGUGUCAGAAUUUGUGAGGGUAGAUUUGCAUUGCUUAUACGGGAGCCAAUAAGAGAAGGGAAUUUCAUCAUCCAACCUAAAGUGGAUUUCGAUAUUAGCAUUAGUACUGUUGCUGGUCUUCUUAACCUUGGGUAAGCUGUUUACUUAUAGUAGAAUACAAUGCUUAUUAAUGUUGUUUUCAUUGCCUGCUUUUCAUCCUUAGAUGAGACAAAAGCUACUAUUUAUUUGUUUGAACUUAUUUUGUAACACUGGAUACACAAACCAUACAUGUAUGGCUGUCUGUGCUCAAGCAAGAAAGAGGGGGGAGGAAGGUGAUCUCCAUCCAAUACAAGUCUUCUGUUCUGCUAAGCUAUCCCCCUUUUCUUUCUCUGUUCAAACUGUGCAAUCUGCAUCAAGAUCCAUUUGUCACAUUUCCCCAACAUUAGCUUCUUUCCAACUUGCACAUGUUUAUUAAUACAUGGCUCCAAAACGAAGGAAAUAAUCGAAUUUUAAUUGCAGAUUUUAAAUGCUGCAAAGGAAUUAUGUAGAAUAACAAGUGCAGUGGUUUAUAUUUGUGAAGAAGUUUCAGAAAAGGAGUGAAUUUAGAGAAUAUUGUGUCCGUGACUUAAUAUAAGGGAGCUGAUAUGCUCAAAAUCUCUUCACUGUGGUACCUCUUGAGAUCCAUAUCUUUGUUUAUCAUCAUAACAUUGAGAGAAAUUCUCCAUUUUGGUAUGAAGAUGGAGAAAAAUAAUUUGCAUCUUCAAGUAUUAAAUGCAUAUAUAGUCAUAAACAUAUAUCUUUCUUUUGAAAACUUAAAUAAUUUGCAUCCUAAAAGAUGCUGUUGCGCGCUUAGUUCUGCCUUUUAAUGCUUCACUGCUGAUAUUCUACUUGUAAGACAUUGAAAUGUUGUGUUUUAUUGUUUUAUUAUGUCAGGUAUCAAGCUGUAGCUUACAUUGAAGCCUCUGCAUUUAUCUACCAAGAUGGGAAGGUUAUAUAUGUGGAUAUCUUUAUUUCUCUCCAUUUUUUUUGCCAUCACGUCAUUUCUUCAUGCAGUUGAGCAUGGCUUGUGUCAUAUGGGAUUAACCAGUAAUCCAAUAUUGACUUGAUACUCUCAGUUGAUCAUCCUGGCUACCAUUUAGUUUGGUUUUCAUUAUAUUACCAUUGUCAUCAAUUGUUGUUGCUAUUAUAGUGAUGAUUAUAAUAUAUUUUUUGACCCAUGUUUUGCUUGUUGGGAUGUGCUGAGACUGAUUAUAAGUAAGAUUCUUGGUGGCUUGGCGAAUCCCUAGCUUUGGCGCCUCUAUUGUUGUAUCAUUUUAUGCAACUUGGUUUCUGUUUUCUUAUUGCUUGUUAUUGGUGUAGCCUAAAUAUUUAAAUUUGUUUCUGACUCUUAGAUUCUCGUUGAGGUUGAUCAUCUAAAAGAUGCCCCUAGUCCCUAUUUACAGAUUAAAGGGGUUAAUAAAGAUGCAGUCGCAGCUGCUGGCUCAACACUUAAACUGGAUGGUUCAUAUACAACCAAGGUUUUGCUUUGAGUUUUUUUUACAUGCCAUAGUCAUUGUCUGUUUGUAUUGUUAGCGGUAUCUUCAGCAAUGGGAUAACUUAUGUCUUCAUCAUUAACUGACUGGCUCUUUUUUUAUAAGAGUUAUCUACAAAUCAUUUUGGAGAUGGUGCCGGCAACAGAACAAAGUUCCAGUGGAAUUCACACACAGCAAACUGCAAGAUUGCAGGAACUCGUUGAAUUUAUACAAUAUCAGGUAUAUUACUAUGAUUUAGUGUAUGAUAAACAAUUGAGUGUGAAAAUUUUAUUUUUAGAUGAACAACAAUGGAAUUAAGGUGGAUCUUUUGGAAUCUAAUAUGCUGUACUAGACAUGGAUGUAAUGAGAGAGGGCUGGGUUCUCUUAUUACCAUGCUUAAUGAGAAGACAAAAACCUCAUUUUGUCUCUUAUCUUCAUUUUCUGUGAAGUAGCAUUGGAUCUACCUCAUUUUACUCAUAUAUGUGAGAAUUCACAAGUCUGUUGUAGCCCUGUGGAUGUUUUGCUUGUGCCCCUAGUUUCUGAACAUGACAUAUGACAGAGCUUUACUGGCACAGCCACCAUGUUCAAAGUGGUUCAUACUAUGGAUGUUGGUGUAAUUAUAAAUUCAAGUGAGAAAAAGAACAUUAUAUUCAAAGUAUAGGGCCUAAAACUUUUGCAGAUUUUAAGUCUGCAGAUGAAGAAAUGUUUAAAAAAUAGUUGCUAUAGCAUAACGAAUCAUGAUGGUGGUGGUGGCAAUCGAAUAGCAUGGUGAAAGAUAUCACUGAAAGAAAAGAAGGCUUAUUCAACAUCUACUAUUGUUUGUUUCAGUUGAUUAUCUACUGAUAUUUGAGUGUUGCUAUUAGAGGUGCCUUCUACAGAAACUUUACUUUUUUAACUUUGUUUUUUGUCUUCUUAACCAUAGGAUGGUGUCUCCAAUUCAUUAAGGGUAGUUAUUACUAAUGUAGACUUUGUCAAAAACAAUGUCAUCCUAAAAUCUUCCGAUAUUUUAUAUUCCAAUAUUCUAAUGUUAAGCUCAUACAAGAGGGACAUGGAAGCAUUUUUGCAAGUUGAUCUCUGAAUAUUUUCCAGUUUGAAUGGUGCAUUUCCUUAAUAUUAUUUUAACUUGUCUAACAAGAAGAAAAAAAAUAAUACUAUGGCCAAAUUGACAGGGAAACAGCUCAGCUUCAGAAUCCUCACCAAUUAGGGAGGCGGCUCCUAUAGAGGGCAUAAUUGAAGAUAUGCAAUCUAGAAUCAAGAGGCUGGAAAGAUGGCAGACCAUCAAUAC